GCUCCUGUGACGCGAGUGGCGGACGGGUGAGUAACACGUAGGCAACCUGCCCAUCAGACCGGGAUAACCACGGGAAACCGUGGCUAAUACCGGAUAAUCCUUUUCUUCACAGGAAGGAAAGUUGAAAGGCGGUUUUGCUGUCACUGAUGGAUGGGCCUGCGGCGCAUUAGCUAGUUGGUGGGGUAAGGGCCCACCAAGGCGACGAUGCGUAGCCGACCUGAAGGGUGAUCGGCCACACUGGGACUGAAACACGGCCCAACUCCUACGGGAGGCAGCAGUAGGGAAUCUUCCGCAAUGGACGCAAGUCUGACGGAACAACGCCGCGUGAGUGAAGAAGGGUUUCGGCUCGUAAAACUCUGUUGUCAGGGAAGAACGUCCCCGUGAGUAACUGCCGGGGAGUGACGGUACCUGACCAGAAAGCCACGGCUAACUACGUGCCAGCAGCCGCGGUAAUACGUAGUGGCAAGCGUUAUCCGGAAUUAUUGGGCGUAAAGCGCGCGUAAGCGGUCUGUUAAGUCUGAAAGCCCCCGGCUCAACCGGGGAGGUCAUUGGAAACUGGCAGACUUGAGUGCAGAAGAGAGAGUGGAAUUCCAUGUGUAGCGGUGAAAUGCGCAGAAUAUGGAGGAACACCAGUGGCGAAGCGGCUCUCUGGUCUGCAACUGACGCUGUGCGAAAGCGUGGGGAUCAAACAGGAUUAGAUACCCUGGUAGUCCACGCCGUAAACGAUGAUGCUAAGUGUUAGGGGUUUCCGCCCCUAUGCUGCAGCUAACGCAUUAAGCAC
Molecule: ribosomal RNA, 781 nt
Filed under: Salinicoccus hispanicus
Lineage: Bacteria; Bacillati; Bacillota; Bacilli; Caryophanales; Staphylococcaceae
Description: bacterial SSU rRNA
Rfam family: Bacterial small subunit ribosomal RNA
Source: RNAcentral